This 502-nucleotide ribosomal RNA is filed under the name uncultured crenarchaeote. Its description in RNAcentral is "bacterial SSU rRNA". It matches the Rfam family "Archaeal small subunit ribosomal RNA", at positions 483 to 985 of the family's 1478-position model. The record is from RNAcentral. Lineage: Archaea; Thermoproteati; Thermoproteota.
UCCGAGUGGUGUGGAUGUCUAUUGGGCCUAAAWCAUCCGUAGCUGGCUAGGUCAGUCCCUUGUUAAAUCCACCGAAUUAAUCGUUGGAUUGCGGGGGAUACUGCUUGGCUAGGGGACGAGAGAGGCAGACGGUAUUUUCKGGGUAGGGGUGAAAUCCUAUAAUCCCGGGAAGACCACCAGUGGCGAAGGCUGUCUGUUAGAACGCGCCCGACGGUGAGGGAUGAAAGCUGGGGGAGCGAACCGGAUUAGAUACCCGGGUAGUCCCAGCUGUAAACGAUGCAGACUAGGUGUUUGUACGGCCACGUGCCGUUCUAGUGCCGCAGGGAAGCUGUUAAGUCUGCCGCCUGGGGAGUACGAUCGCAAGAUUGAAACUUAAAGGAAUUGGCGGGGGAGCACCACAAGGGGUGAAGCUUGCGGUUUAAUUGGAGUCAACGCCGGAAAUCUCACCGGGAGCGACAGCAGUAUGAAGGCCAGAUUAAAGGUCUUGCCAGACGAGCUGAGA